This is a long non-coding RNA of Coturnix japonica (Japanese quail), 1608 nucleotides long. Lineage: Eukaryota; Metazoa; Chordata; Aves; Galliformes; Phasianidae. The record is from Ensembl.
GAAAGGCAGAGGAAGUUGAUCUUCUUCACAUAGAGCUAUAAGUAACUUAGACACUAUGGUGACACUCAUUGGGAAAAGCAAUCUGAGGGGCCCAGUUUCCUACUUGGAUUCCCACACAGCAGAGCGCUGUAUCUGGAGGAUGACCCAGCAGUGUAUCCUGUAGGACAGGCUCAACAUAACUUGCUGCUGAGAUGCAUCUUCUCUGCACUGUGAGAAAUGAGCCUUUCUCUGCAGUUUAAGUCACAGCGGUAAAUAAGCAGUGAAAAAAGGACCCCGAGUCAAACCUUUUCCUGGGCUGGGUGCUUGCAGCACUGCUGGUGUAACGUUAACAUUACGUGGCUUUAUAAUGAACAUGUGCAUAGUUGGAUUUAACGGCCAGUGGUUCGGCUGAGCAAACAUUUAGAGGGAACGAGAGGAGGAAAAACAUGUAUUUUCUUUAGCCAAUACAAAGGAUGACUAAUUACAUCAGGAACAGCUGCGGUGCCCCUGAAAGGACAGAAGACCAGCUGAUUUCUGCCACGCUUCCCCAGCCAACUGGCAACACCUGAGCACUGCAAGUGGAAUUUAAUCUCCCAGAUGGAAAGCAAAUCAAUCUGCCCAUCGCUGCAGCUGAGGUGUACUUUGGCUCAACUUUAAUUUAUUCUCCGAAGCCGAAGGAAGCUGGUCAUUUCAAGGUACAGAAAUAUCACAUUUCUCCUGUUAACCAGCCUGGUAAAAGGAAAGGGGGGGGAAAAAAAAGGAAGAGUUGGGAUUUGGAGGGCUAUGCUGUGAAAUGUUGUCCUUGCUUUGCAUUAGGAAACAGCAGCAUCAUCUCCCUUUGAUUCCUGUGCGUGGAAUCUGACAAGGAAGAAGCAUUUAUGAGCCGGGUGCUAGUGAUAAUGGUUAAACAUGAGUUGUGGAGGCAUUAAGUGGGAUUCUAUGGAGGAAUGAACUAAAUCUCUGAAGAACUCAACACAAAAAGGAAUUGGUGGCAAUUCUGAAGCACUUUAGCCAGUGUGCAAUAGUCUGGUUCCCAUUGGGUUUCACGCCAGGGAUAUAAAUACAAUCUUUCUACUUACCUGCGCUCUUCAGGCCUAUCAAUUAUGCUGCUCCCUCUGAGUUGCUGUUACAACUGUAGGUAUUACUGUCCUCUGCAAAACCAGCACAGAGCAGAGUAUGUGACUAGUUUCCAUGGGCUGCAGACCUGAUCUUUGAGUGGCCAGGCAACUACAGCUCCUAUUUUUUCAGGCUGGAAACCCAAUUUUAGCUGGGAUCAAAGGGAAAACGAGCUCACAAAAACUUGAGGUUAACAAACAUAGGGGAAAUUAGAGCCUGGUUUUUCUGCAGACUUCUGCUUGUUUGGCUAACAAGGAAUGCUCUCCCUUGUCAGCCUGUAUGUGGUACCUACAUCCCAUCUGUGUUUUUUACCUUCUGCUGUACCUUCUCUGAAUUCUUAAUUUCCCAGACUCAUUGGCUGUAUACACUUUGGCUUUGGAGAGGUCACAGACCAAAGAGUUCCUGAUUCCUUUUGACUGGAAAAUAAGCAUUUCUAAGAGUGCUUUGCUCAUGCCUUGUGAGUCAGAUUCCAGCCUCCUUGCACUUGUACAAAUACUUGGCUGUUUUACUGCA